AGAGGAAGUAAAAGUCGUAACAAGGUUUCCGUAGGUGAACCUGCGGAAGGAUCAUUAGAGACGGGCCCGCGGUACCGGCACUCGCUUGCCGGUCUCGCGCUCGCCUCAUCCGACCCCGUGGCUGCGUGAGCUCGCCGACAAGUUUGCCGACCGCCCGCGCGCCGCGACCCCCGACCAAGCGUCGACCGAAAGAUGGUUACCGACGAGAGACCGUGCGGCCCCGUCGUGUGCUCGCGCACGGCGCCGCCGCAGAAGUCUCGUCGACAAAAAUUUUAUAUUUCACAAAAUAUAUAAACACCCGACCCCGAACGGCGGAUCACUUGGCUCGUGGAUCGAUGAAGACCGCAGCUAUCUGCGCGUCGUCGUGUAAUCCGCAGGUUAUACGAACAUCGACCAGU
Molecule: ribosomal RNA, 398 nt
Filed under: Myzus ornatus (violet aphid)
Lineage: Eukaryota; Metazoa; Arthropoda; Insecta; Hemiptera; Aphididae
Rfam family: Eukaryotic small subunit ribosomal RNA (bases 1-57)
Source: RNAcentral